Chelonia mydas (Green sea turtle) is the source of this 5569-nucleotide long non-coding RNA. RefSeq lists it as uncharacterized. The record is from RefSeq and is a predicted model, not a curated record. NCBI's taxonomy places the organism in Eukaryota, Metazoa, Chordata, Testudines, Cheloniidae. The transcript has 2 exons.
UGUGCGCUAGGGUGAUCUCUAGUUUCUCUUUCUACUACAAAAAAAGUAAGUAAUUUGCAAGAUGGGGGAGUGGGGAAGGAAGAGGAUAAAGUUUGUCCAGUGGGACGUGGUGAUGUCUUUUCCGGGGAAACCUCUCUGGAGAAUCAGCCUGGUGACACAUAUAUAACUGUCUUUCCAGCCCUGCUGACACACCUCACAGUUUUUCACUUUGCGUAGAAGCAGAGACAAAAGACCCUUCUUUUAUCUCCUGCAGUUUCGUUUGGGUCUCAGUACCAGCCCGUGCACAUGGCACGCCUCGUUCUUGCUGAUACAACCGUUCUAUUUUUCAGCAGUGCAGCUGGCAAGCCUGGAAACAGCAGAAACACGACCCAAGGGCCUGCCAUUGCACACUGCAUUACAUGUGAUAGCCAAAGCUGUUCGGCUUUUCACACCACUAGAAAUUCAAUAGGGAUGUUGAACACAUGUAGCACAUGUAACAGUCCUGGCUGGUAGCAAGCCUACGGUUUCUUUGUGUAUUUUUUUCCCUGCUGCUCUGCUGUCUUUGCAGAAGACAUUUUUACUUAGUGUGCUGUACCUCCAUUUGAAGCAAAUGUGCCAACCUUCCCUUCCCCCCUCCAGCAGGCUUGGGUUUUGUUUUUGUUGUUAGUGGUGAUGGUUUGUUUUCAAAGUACAGCCUUCCUGAUAAUUUUGCCAAUAGGAUUCUUUAUAGCUGUAUUAGCAAACGCACCCUCGUUCACAUACAGAUAAGGGUGCAAAAUGCACAUAAUCUCCAAUUUAUUAGCUUGGGUCACAGGAUAUUAUCAAGAACUGAUGUUAAGACUAAGUGGCAUUAGCAGGACCUUCCUAUCAGAACAACAUUCAUUGUCAGUUACAUUACUAGAGCAGCAGUUGUGCUACAUUAUAAAUAAUUAUAUUAUCCACAUUCAGCUUGUAUUGUUGUACACAAGGCUGGUGCCAUAUCACACUUCAUUAACAUGCUAGACAGGACAGCUCCCACAGAAAUACAUUUCCUGACGCUUUCCAUUUGAAAUAUUAUUCUACUAAUUAACAUACUGUAGAUCAGAAAUGACACAUGCCAGGUAAAAAUUAGCUUUCCUAUAUUAAUAGAGGAAGAGCAUUAAUUAAAAGCCAUUCUGCUGAAAAUGAUCACUUUACAAACUUACAGAGAAGCUGUCAAGGUUGGUAAAUCCCAGAUUUAACACCCUUUGUUUUCCUGUCUCUCUCUGCAAAGUCCCUAUAAUUCUCUGUGUCUUUGUCAUCACAAAAGCGUAAUUGCUCUUUAAAAACAAAUCAGCAACCUGGCAUAGAAGAACAAACCUAUGAUACCACAUCAGUGUGAUUUCGGAAUGGAGGUAACCAAAGAGGUCUUGUUCCUUUUUCCAGAGGGGAGGGGCAGGAAGUGGUUGCUACAUUGUUAAAUAUUAUUUUUUUUAAAUGAUUGUGCCUGGUGCUGUAUAAAACAUGAUUAGCUCUGCUCCUUUCUUUGAUCAGCCCUUCCUGGGUGGGACAAGCUCUGCCAGGAGCCUGUCAAAGGUGGGGAAGAGGCAGAACUUUACCUCCUAUUCCCUCUGUCCCUUGCUUCCCUCCUUCCAAUGGCUCUGGCACCCCAUCUCUUACAGGGCCAGAGCAGGAGGCUUGUGCUGACUAGGCUGUGUUACUGAUUCCUCAGACUCAGGUUGCAAUGUUGUCACCUGACAAGUUUGGCACAUGGCUUGUGUGAAACAUACGCUGGCUAUAUGGUAAGAGAGAAGUGGGGCAGCACAAAACAUUUCAUAGUGAGGAAAGAGCAUGUCUGAGACAAACAUUUGUAGUUUUAAAGAACCCAACCGCAUUGUUUGAUGAGAAGAAAAGCCAGAACCUUUCAGAUGUUCUGAAAAGAAGUUGUUAGGACAUCAGGACAGCCUAUGAAAAACAGGAGUUGGUUAUUAUGUUUCCCAGCAUGCAAACAGAGGAGCAGAUGAAAACAAAUAUUCUAGUUUUGAGAAUGCAGAACACACAAGAACUCAAAACCACAGGGAGCACGCACACGCAUGUGCUCAUGCAGGCUUUUCCCUAAGGCAGAGAGGUACAACUCACCCCACCUUGCUUUAAGCUAGCUCUUCCCAGACUGACUCUGCUGCUGGCCCCCUACACUUUGCUACAGAGCCCUCUAGCUUGCAAGCAGGAUCAGGAAACCCAUGCUCUUAAAGUGAUAGCGGACACCUCCACCACAGUCCUCAACACGCUGCAAUUCUAGCAACUCCUUCACUCAGGGAUUGGCUCUGAAUGGAAAAACAUAGAAAUGUAGGACUGGAAGAGACCUCGAUAAGUCAUCUAGUCCAGUCACCUGCACUGAGACAGGACUAAGUAUUACCUAGACCUUCCCUGACAACUGUUUGUCUAACCUGUUCUUAAAAACCGCUAAUUAUGGAGAUUUCAGAACCUCUGUAGUCCAUUUGUUCCAGUGCUUAACUACCUUUACAGUUCGGAAAUUUUCCAGAACAUCUAACCUAAAUCUCACUUGCUGCAAUUUAAGCCCAUUGCUUCUUGUCCUGUCCUCAAUGGUUAAGGAGAAAAAUUUAUCAUCCUCCUCUUUAUAGAAUCUUUUACGUGAAGACUGUUAAGUCCUCCCCUCAGUCUUCUCUUCUCCAGACUAAACAUACCCAAUUUUUUCAAUCUUCCCUCAUAGGUCAUGUUUUCUAGACUUUGUCAUUUUUGUUGGUCUCCUCUGGACUUUCUCCAAUUUUGACCACAUCUUUCCCAAAUUGUGGUGCCCAGAAUGGACCCAAUGCUUCAGUUGAGAAGGGGCGCUCCUCUUACAGAAGUAGGUGCCUUUGUAGAUAGCCUUCAGCUUAGCUCCCAACUGAGAAAUGGCUGUAAAUGUCAACAAGCAGAGGUGAUACAGACACAAACACACACACGUAAGCAGCUAGGAGUCUGAGUGCAGCUCAGCUCCUUGUUUCAUCAGAUCAAUUUACAUUGAUUUUCUUUUUCAAGGUUAUCUGUGCAAGGAGAUGUGCUAGAAACACACUUACUUUCUCAACAGAAGCUGAGAUUUCCCCUUUACAGAGCGCAGAAGCUGGUUCUGUUAAGGCGUUCAUGUGUAGAACUGAAGGAAUUUUUUUUCUGAUGAAUUUUUUCGGCAGAUAAAUGCAGAUUCAGCAACAUGAAACAAGUUCACCUCAGUACCCCCAAGAUGUUUCAGUUGGAAAGAGAGUCUGAAAGAGCUUCUGAAAAAACAGAUAUUUUCUUUCAACAUUUUUGAAAUGAAAUCUUUUGAUUUUUACGUUUGAAACAACUUAAAAAAAAAUUAAAAGAAAUUUUGAAACAACCAAAAACGUUUUUAAAUGGUCAUAAUCAAAACAAAGUUUAUUUCAACCUUAAACACAGUAUUUUUUAACUUUUAAAUUCAUCAAAAAGUUAGAAAUGUUUCAAUUUUGAUUCACCACAAACAUUUUCCCUCCCUGGAAUUAUCAGCGAGCCAAAAAAAUAACCAUUAUUUUCUCAGCUAUAUUCACCUAUGCCUCCUCAUCAGAGGAUAAUGUUACUGGCCUGGUAGAAAAACUUGAGGCUCAAACUGCAGCUCAGAAGGAGGAGUGUAGUGCCGUGGCAGGAACAGAGUCCUCCUCUGUGGGCCUUCUAUUGCCCCAGUGUGGCUGCACGUCUCCCAGGGAAGAAGUCUGCACCUCCAGGGUGCACUGUAGCAGAGCUCUGGCCCACCAGCUAAUUGUCCCUCCAGUCUUACUUUCCCUGGUGGGGGAGUUGAGCCCCCAAAAGUUCCAAAAUAAAAGCAAAUCCAACUCAAUGCUGGACCAUCCCCCAGCCUUCCAGUGGGGCGCCCCAUCCUUCUCUUGCUCAUGCAUCGCUCGCUCGUGGCGUCUGACUGCUCCUGCUCCAGUUAGCAGCACAGAGGCAGAGCUCCAUCCUCCUUCCUGACCCGCCAGUCCACAACUGAGCCAGACUCUCUCUUUUUAUUCCCCCUCCACGCUUAGCAUUGGCUUCGUGUAUAGCGGAGGCAGGGCUAGCUGGGGGCCACAGGCUCUCCUUAACCCCUUCUCUGCUGGUGUAGGGCCUCUCUGCCCAUAACAAGGAUGGGGGGGGGGAAUGAAACUUAUGAAACUUAUAGUGAAAAUAUGUGCAGUUAUGUGCAACUUUGUCCUUUCACAGCCUAACAAGCCUCUUAUAUUUCAACUAUAAGUCACCAGGAGAAAGGCCUGUCAGAAAGACAGUGGGAGAUGAAAGCCCAUCCUCAAGAGGACCCAGCUGGUGAGAGCUGAUUGCAGAGUGCGCCUGCCACCGAACAGUAACUGAGGCCAUUUUCACGGUCUCUUAACAAUUUAUUUUCUGUUUACUCCCUUGCCUCCCUGUAUCUCUUCAGGCACACGCGAGUGACACAGACAAGAAGCAGCAGUCUUUUCAUGAUAAAUUGUCCCCGUUUUCCAGAUGACUGGGGAAGCACUGUAGAUUUUUCUACACCACAGAAUUCUAGUUUGCCCUAAGACGAUGGCCAGCUCUGAAAGAGCAGGUUUCUGAGAUGACUUUUGUAUCUCCCCUUUAAUACCUUUCUUGUUUGUCCCCCCAUCAUCCCUCCACUUAUCUUCAUUAGCACACAAUGAAGAAGUGGUCAUGGACCAAAGCCCCUUACACAUGUAAGCAGGGUCUGAAUGAACUCUCCCCUGACAGCUAGCUGGGAGGGGGAGAAACUUCAGAAGCAAACUGUAUUUACAUGAACACAGGUACUCUGCUUAGAUAUUCAGCAGAUAGAGCGGUGUUGCUCAAAAGUGAUCAACGUUGGCAGGUAUUGGGUUACAAAUCACUUUAGUGCUGAAUGCAGGGGCAGUGAAAUGCUGUUAUCAAUGUUCUUUUCUUUAUUGUAUGAAUAAAGGGGAGCAGAACUGUGCUUAACCUGUCCCAAAUGAAGGGAUCACCCUCAGCUAAUAGGACCUCGUUAAGCUAGGGGCUCAAAUGCCAGACCCCUGUGAAAGUAAAAGGGUUGGGAACAGAUGUCCCAGCCAGAAGGUGUGGAUUGUCCCUAUGCGUGCCUGGUCUGGUUUAACUUGUUCCUCUCCAAUGUUCAGAGAUAGAACUAAAUAGGCUUCAUUAGGAGGCUUUUGUUACGUUAAGUACUCAGUGAGAUCUGAAAUCACUUGUGCUGGGGCAGUGUUUUAGCUGAGAGCUAAAAAUCACUAAGAGACUGACCUACGGAGGUCGCAGCAGGAGGUGACUGAUGGGCAUGGCGAGCAGUCAGCUGGUAGCGCGGCCAGCCAAAUCAAGUGCUAAGACGGCGGAGCAAGCCAGGUGACUUCUUCCCCGGGUGGGAGGUGAACUCACACAGAGGCACUUCUGAACCCUGUGUCCUCACCGACCAAGGACAACCACUGUGAGUGGGGUGUGGUGAGGGAGCAGAGGGGAGCACAGUAAAGGAACUUUUGGUUGUAUAACUCAAGAACAUGAGGCAGAAGACUCUGCUCCAUGCACCCUGGGGUGGGCAUCCUGCUCACAGUUUUAGCUUUAUAAAUCAUGCUUGCAGCAUUUUCCCUAAUUAAUGUCGGGUGAUUUACCUCCUUUCAUUAAAAGUUUCUUUGCUAUA